CAACUCGCCUACAUGAAGUCGGAAUCGCUAGUAAUCGCGGAUCAGCAUGCCGCGGUGAAUACGUUCCCGGGCCUUGUACACACCGCCCGUCACACCAUGAGAGUUUGUAACACCCAAAGCCGGUGGGGUAACCUUUUGGAGCCAGCCGUCUAAGGUGGGACAGAUGAUUGGGUGAAGUCGUAACAAGGUAUC
Molecule: ribosomal RNA, 192 nt
Filed under: uncultured bacterium
Lineage: Bacteria
Description: partial 16S ribosomal RNA
Rfam family: Bacterial small subunit ribosomal RNA
Source: RNAcentral